UGGAAGUCCUGCCGUCUAAUCCUG
RNAcentral lists this non-coding RNA (24 nucleotides) under Mus musculus (house mouse). Lineage: Eukaryota; Metazoa; Chordata; Mammalia; Rodentia; Muridae. The record is from RNAcentral.